AAAGCCCCGGGCUUAACUCGGGGAGGUCGUUCAAUACUGCGGGGCUAGAGGGCAGCAGAGGGAGGUGGAAUUCCCCGGUGUAGUGGUGAAAUUGCGUAGAUAUCGGGAGGAAACACCGUGGCGAAAGGCGGCCUCCUGGGGCUGAACCUGACGCCUGAAUGCGAAAGCCUAGGGGAGCGACCGGGAUUAGAAUACCCGGUAGUCCAGCUGUAAACGAAUGAUGCUGCGUGUACGGGGUAUAAAAUCCCUCUGUGCCGAAGCUAAACCGUUAAGCAUCCCGCCUGGGGACUACGGCCGCAAGGCUUAAACUCAAACGAAUUGACGGGGGCCCGCACAAGCAAGCGGAGCGUGUGGUUUAAUUCGAUGCUACAACGAAGAACCUUACCUGGGCUGACAAUUGCACGUUGGUAGGGAACCGAAAGGGGACCCGACCUUUCCGGGAGCGUGCACAGGUGCUGCAUGGCUGUCGUCAGCUCGUGCCGUGAGGUGUCGGGUUAAGUCUCGUAACGAGCGCAACCCUUGCCCUUAGUUAUACGUGUCUAAGGGGGACUGCCCGGGAUAACCGGGAGGAAGGUGGGAUGACGUCAAGUCAGCAUGGCCUUUAUGUCCAGGGCUACACACACGCUACAAUGGCCGGUACAAUGGGUCGCGAAGCCGUGAGGCGGAGCCAAUCCUGAAAGCCGGUCUCAGUUCGGAUUGUAGGCUGCAACUCGCCUACAUGAAGUUGGAGUUGCUAGUAACCGCAGGUCAGCUAUACUGCGGUGAUACGUUCCCGGGCAUUGACACACCGCCCGUCACGUCAUGGGAGCU
Molecule: ribosomal RNA, 810 nt
Filed under: uncultured organism
Description: bacterial SSU rRNA
Rfam family: Bacterial small subunit ribosomal RNA
Source: RNAcentral